ACGAAGGGGGCUAGCGUUGCUCGGAAUUACUGGGCGUAAAGGGAGCGUAGGCGGAUAGUUUAGUGAGAGGUGAAAGCCCAGGGCUCAACCUUGGAACUGCCUUUCAUACUGGCUAUCUUGAGUACGGGAGAGGUGAGUGGAACUCCGAGUGUAGAGGUGAAAUUCGUAGAUAUUCGGAAGAACACCAGUGGCGAAGGCGACUCACUGGCCCGUUACUGACGCUGAGGCUCGAAAGCGUGGGGAGCAAACAGGAUUAGAUACCCUGGUAGUCCACGCCGUAAACGAUGAGUGCUAGUUGUCGGCAUGCAUGCAUGUCGGUGACGCAGCUAACGCAUUAAGCACUCCGCCUGGGGAGUACGGUCGCAAGAUUA
RNAcentral lists this ribosomal RNA (371 nucleotides) under uncultured bacterium. RNAcentral's name for it is "bacterial SSU rRNA". It matches the Rfam family "Bacterial small subunit ribosomal RNA", at positions 525 to 896 of the family's 1533-position model. The record is from RNAcentral.